GAUGAACGCUGGCGGCGUGCCUAAUACAUGCAAGUCGAGCGAACAGACGAGGAGCUUGCUCCUCUGACGUUAGCGGCGGACGGGUGAGUAACACGUGGAUAACCUACCUAUAAGACUGGGAUAACUUCGUGAAACCGGAGCUAAUACCGGAUAAUAUAUUGAACCGCAUGGAUCAAUAGUGAAAGACGGUUUUGCUGUCACUUAUAGAUGGAUCCGCGCCGCAUUAGCUAGUUGGUAAGGUAACGGCUUACCAAGGCAACGAUGCGUAGCCGACCUGAGAGGGCGAUCGGCCACACUGGAACUGAGACACGGUCCAGACUCCUACGGGAGGCAGCAGUAGGGAAUCUUCCGCAAUGGGCGAAAGCCUGACGGAGCAACGCCGCGUGAGUGAUGAAGGUCUUCGGAUCGUAAAACUCUGUUAUUAGGGAAGAACAAAUGUGUAAGUAACUCUGCACGUCUUGACGGUACCUAAUCAGAAAGCCACGGCUAACUACGUG
Molecule: ribosomal RNA, 497 nt
Filed under: uncultured bacterium
Lineage: Bacteria
Description: partial 16S ribosomal RNA
Rfam family: Bacterial small subunit ribosomal RNA
Source: RNAcentral